ACACGUGUUACAAUGGGGGGUACAGAGGGCCGCUACCACGCGAGUGGAUGCCAAUCCCCAAAACCUCUCUCAGUUCGGACUGGAGUCUGCAACCCGACUCCACGAAGCUGGAUUCGCUAGUAAUCGCGCAUCAGCCACGGCGCGGUGAAUACGUUCCCGGGCCUUGUACACACCGCCCGUCAAGCCAUGGGAGCCGGGGGUACCUGAAGUGCGUAACCGCGAGGAGCGCCCUAGGGUAAAACCGGUGACUGGGGCUAAGUCGUAACAAGGUAAC
RNAcentral lists this ribosomal RNA (274 nucleotides) under uncultured bacterium. RNAcentral describes it as "partial 16S ribosomal RNA". It matches the Rfam family "Bacterial small subunit ribosomal RNA", at positions 1218 to 1500 of the family's 1533-position model. The record is from RNAcentral.